This 222-nucleotide ribosomal RNA is filed under the name uncultured bacterium. Its description in RNAcentral is "partial 16S ribosomal RNA". It matches the Rfam family "Bacterial small subunit ribosomal RNA", at positions 328 to 539 of the family's 1533-position model. The record is from RNAcentral.
ACGCUCGACACCUACGGAGGCAGCAGUAGGGAAUCUUCCACAAUGGACGCAAGUCUGAUGGAGCAACGCCGCGUGAGUGAAGAAGGUCUUCGGAUCGUAAAACUCUGUUGUUAGAGAAGAACACGAGUGAGAGUAACUGUUCAUUCGAUGACGGUAUCUAACCAGCAAGUCACGGCUAACUACGUGCCAGCAGCCGNGGUAAUCUGAGCGGGCUGGCAAGGC